GACGUGCCCGAAAACAUUUGUAUUUGUAAAAAGCAAACCGACGAGCGGAUAAGGCGGAAUACCUGAAGAGCAGCAGCGAAAAACACGAAAAGCCAGAAACAGAAACCAAAAACCCAAACCGAAACAACUCGAACUUCGUGUGCAGUGUGGCAAACUCAAAAAGAAACUGAAACAGAUAACAUAAGAAACCGAAAGAAGCAGCAGCAGCGAAUCGAAGCGAAAAAAAAAACAGAGCAAAUUGAAAGAAGCACAAAACAUAACACAACAAAUUUAAAUAAAAUCCAACGCAAGCAGCGACAGAAAAGUUAUUCCGGAAAACGCGCGGAAAAGUGCAUUUCGAAUUUCAUUAAUUUUUUUUCGAGUGAAAGUUGGGCGCCCCAGGCCCAACAACGCCCACAAUGAACCGUUCGAACAGCUUCGUCAGCUCGCUGAAAUGGUGGCCACUGCAGGGUCACAACAACCAGCCGGUGGCGCCACCUGCCGGCGGCAACGGCGGCUACUCCCAAUCGGCGCCCAGCUCGCCCACCUCCAAUUGGCCACCGCCACUGCAGCAGCAUCAGAAUCCCACAGCCGGCACCGCCCACCGCCUACUGCCGCCCAGCGGGCAAAAGAAUGGGAUUGCUGGCGGCAACGUGGGCGCCACAUUCGGCAGCAGUGUGGCGGUGCAAAAGCUGCGCGAAUCCAAGUGGUUCAAGCCCGAGGAGCAGCGCAUCUUUUGCGCCGUCGUCGAGUGCGGCUUCGUGGUCGAGAUCCGCAGCAGCGCCGCAGCCGAGGCGGCCGCAGCCAACGCAGCAGCAGCGGCCGCAGCAGCCGACACCGGUGACAACGACCUCGACGUGGACGCCCUGGAGGAGCUCGACUGCCCACUGACCAACCACCCAUCGCCGCCGCAUCGCAAUCACAGCCACGGCCAAAUCCAAAACCAAUCCCAGCGGCUGGUCAUCCCGCGCAACGGGAGCAGUUUCCUGGAGACGCAGGACGAGAACGAGACGCCAGUCGCCUCCUGGUAUGGAAUCGUGCUCUGCAAGGUGGCCAAAGACAAUAAACCCAAGCCGGAGACCAUUGAGAUAUUUUCUGUGAAAAUACGUGAGAAUGGCACAUACAAGUUGAUCAAGAUGCAGCUGGCGGAUAUCUGGAGUCACGGAUGGGAGCUGCGCAUCAACAACUUUGCCGACAAGGAGAAGGUGCCGCACAACGAGAAGGACAUUCGCAAUCAGGUGUCGGUGGCGCGCAAAGCCAAGCAGAGUCUGUGGAACAACAAUAAGCAUUUCGUGUACUGGUGCCGCUACGGAAGUCGUCAGCAGGAUCUGCGGAAGCGACAGGUAACGACGAGUGCCAAUCACGUGCUGCUGCACCUGAUCAAUUGAUAAGUCGAGCCGAGGAGUCAAGCAAAUGGCCGAGGAGAAAAUGAAAUGAGAAAUAGGAGCGUUUGAAGCGCCGACACUGAAACCCAUCCUUUAUCCCGCUCCUGCUCCUGCUACUGCACCAUCCCACCAGCUUAUCCCGCCACCCAAAAGUUGCAGCAGCAGCAAAAAAGAAAGAAUGAAAAAAACCCAAAGCAAUGUAAAACCAUGUAAAACCACACAUCAUACCGACCAAGUCAUCAUACAUAUUCAUUACUAGUACGCAACGUGGACUAAAAACGAACUGAGGGAACCGGAAAAAAAGAACCAUUAACUUUUCUAGGGCCCCGACCUAUGUAUCUAUCUAUGCACCAUCAUCAUUAUCAUUAUCAUCCAAACAACCGAUUCACGCUUGCUUUGCUCAUACAAAUUCGCCCAAAUGAAAGAAAACCCUGAGAAUUUUGCCCUUGCAACUCGAUCGAUCAUCUAUUCUAUCGAACUGAAGGCAUUGCUAGAUGCUAGAUGCUAGCCUCUAGAUUCUAGACUCUAGACUUUGUAUAUACUUUUCUGUGAGACUGCAAAAAUUGUCCAUUCAAUGUUGAUUUACCAUUUUCGUCAAGAGGCUCUUUCUUGAUUUUCUCUAUCUCUCAAUCAAUUGCAGUUAGAUUUUCCGGCAUCAAGGACCCAAGGACAUUGAGUUCGCCUGCCUGUCGGGUUGCUCUCAAUGCCUGGGUAAAUUGUACUGGACUAUCUGGCGAGUGAAAUGCGAGAUUGGCAAGAUCAGAGAAGUGGGCCAUGACUGCCCCACAUUUGUGGCAUCUAAACAGAAACCCAAAACUUCCCAUUCUUGCGGCAUUUAUAUGUAUGAUGUAUGUAUAUAGCCAUAGAUUCCUGCCAGCGCCAGCCAGCUCAUCGCCACCAGAGACAUGUCGGAGUGCGUGAAGUGGGGCAGCGUGGGCAUGAAUGCGGGCAUGCUGCUGGUGCUCAAUAAUCGGCAGAAAUGCCAUUCCCACUCCAAGUAGAACGAACGAUAAGUCAAGUAUUAAUGUAUUUAAAUUCGGAUGAUAAGAUAAUUUAUGGUAUGGCUUAAGAGCACGAGCACCAAGGGCGGUGGACCUUAAACCCUAAAUGCAAAUGAGUUGGCCAGGAAAAUUCAAAUCAGGGCGUGGGCUUUUUUUUGGCAGUAUUAAUUGUAGUAAUAUUGAUUAUGAUAAUGGCAAUUUAGAGCAAAGUCCGCGAAUCAUGCCUCACAAUAUGCGUCACAGUCACAAAGAACACACCCCCGCCCACAAAUCUAUGACCAUAUGUAUAUAUGCAUAUAUGUAUGAUGAACCAGCGGUUGCAACUCCGCGGCGAGUUGCAAUUUUGCAAUUUAUAGAAAAUACUUUUGUAUUUGCUAAACAAAGAUUGUGUAUAAUGAUGACACAGAACGAGAGAGAGAGACACACACACACACACACACACUGUGAAAUUCGAAAAGACUUAUUAAAUAUUUGUUUGUUUUUUUUUUUCGUCCUAACUUUUUGUUUUCCAUGUGAUUGAUUAUAUAUAUUUAUAUACAUUGUGAAAAUGGCACAAAGCAUCUUAUGCAAGGCAGCCUCUUUUUUGUUUUCUUUGUUAUUUAAGCGUAAUUAAGUAAUACCCAUUAAAAAAAACACAAAUAUAUUUAUAUAUAUAUAUAUAUCGAGCGACAGCUCCGCGUAGCCAGCUUAAUAAUUUAACAAUCUAGCAUUGUAAAACAAUCAAAAACAUUCGAAAUGUUUCGUUAUGUAUUUAGCCUGUCCAAAUGACCGACCGACCGACGAAUUAAGUUAAACAGCGACUAAGACGACGACUUAGAAACAGAAACAGAAACAAAAACAUAAAACAGAAGCUCCUCCAGAAAUUCGAAGCAAAAAUAAAUAUUUUUGUACACAAGGAACUGAAAUGGACGCUCCACGGAUUCAAAUACGUAAAAAUCGAAAUCAAAGAGGAGUUCGCAUC
This is an RNA transcript of Drosophila simulans, 3326 nucleotides long. RefSeq lists it as uncharacterized. The transcript is spliced from 4 exons. The record is from RefSeq and is a predicted model, not a curated record. Lineage: Eukaryota; Metazoa; Arthropoda; Insecta; Diptera; Drosophilidae.